This is a non-coding RNA of Rattus norvegicus (Norway rat), 298 nucleotides long. NCBI's taxonomy places the organism in Eukaryota, Metazoa, Chordata, Mammalia, Rodentia, Muridae. The record is from RefSeq and is a predicted model, not a curated record.
AUGAUGUCACUGAGAACUGCCGUAGACUACCUGCUGUACAGAUUUCCUUACAUUGACCAGAUUUGAGGGUGACACUUUCAGAAGAGUCUCCUGUUUAAGAGUGGAAACCUUUACAUACUAAAUCUCUCUAAAGGACCUUUUAUACUUGACAAAAAGAGUGAAGGUCAUGAUGCCUAAUGAUGAUGUCACUGAAAACUCUCAUGGACUACCUGAUGAACAACUUUCCUUACAUUGACAAGAUUCAAGUUUGCACUUUAAAGGCUCCACCAAGGGACGACUGACACUGAAGCAGACGCGC